UACUAGUAAGCUUUAGUCUCACUCCU
Molecule: non-coding RNA, 26 nt
Filed under: Rattus norvegicus (Norway rat)
Lineage: Eukaryota; Metazoa; Chordata; Mammalia; Rodentia; Muridae
Source: RNAcentral